This is a long non-coding RNA of Saccostrea cuccullata (small rock oyster), 612 nucleotides long. RefSeq lists it as uncharacterized. Lineage: Eukaryota; Metazoa; Mollusca; Bivalvia; Ostreida; Ostreidae. The transcript has 3 exons. The record is from RefSeq and is a predicted model, not a curated record.
UGGUUCAGUGCUAGAAGUUUUGAACCGUUUUACUCUCCUUCGAUACAUUUAUUUCGAUAAGGAUACCAAAUUUACCUUGAACAACAUGUGGUUAUUUGGGAUGAAGAAAAAAACCAUCAUUGAAGGACUGCGUAUAUUUUACUUCCUUGAAUCUCUAAUAACAAAUGGAUGGUGUAUCUAUAAAUGUCAUGGAGUGGACAGUGAUAUGCAAACGUAUGUCUACAUUAUAGGAGUUGUUCUCACGCUUACAAUUGUUGCUCAUGUCUUCCUAUGGUAUCAAACAAACAACACCAGUGAAGGUUAUAUAACUCUUCGUUUCAUAAUUGCCUUGUUGGAUAUGUGUGCUCUAUUGUGUCUUCUGAUAAAAAUCUUUCAGAUGAAGACAGUCGAUAUUUCAUGGGCACAAAUGAUUAAGAAAGUUCUUGCAUCUCUCAAAGCAAUCGCAUAUGCAGUGGAAACUAAUAAACUAUGGAAAAAAUAUGUACGGUUUCGAGACGACCUUUGCAUUGAAUGGUUAUUUUUCAUCACCAUAAUCAUUUGUAAUAAUAGCUAUAGCAUGUAUUAUUGGUUUCUUUUACCCCAACUGAACAAACUACAGAGAAAAUUCAGAUG